UACGGAAGGUGCAAGCGUUAUCCGGUUUUAUUGGGUUUAAAGGGUGCGUAGGCGGCUUAUUAAGUCAGUUGUGAAAUCCUAGUGCUUAACGCUAGAACUGCAAUUGAUACUAUUAGGCUUGAGUUAAGAAUAGGUAAGUAGAAUUUAUGGUGUAGUAGUGAAAUGCUUAGAUAUCAUAAGGAAUACCAAUAGCGUAGGCAGCUUACUGGUCUUUAACUGACGCUGAGGCACGAAAGCGUGGGGAGCAAACAGG
RNAcentral lists this ribosomal RNA (253 nucleotides) under uncultured bacterium. RNAcentral describes it as "partial 16S ribosomal RNA". It matches the Rfam family "Bacterial small subunit ribosomal RNA", at positions 524 to 776 of the family's 1533-position model. The record is from RNAcentral.